RNAcentral lists this ribosomal RNA (253 nucleotides) under uncultured bacterium. Its description in RNAcentral is "partial 16S ribosomal RNA". It matches the Rfam family "Bacterial small subunit ribosomal RNA", at positions 524 to 776 of the family's 1533-position model. The record is from RNAcentral.
UACGUGGGGUGCGAGCGUUGUUCGGAAUUACUGGGCGUAAAGCGCGCGUAGGCGGCCCUGUAAGUCCGCUGUGAAAGUCGAAGGCUCAACCUUCGAAAGCCGGUGGAUACUGCAGGGCUAGAGUCCGGAAGAGGCGAGUGGAAUUCCUGGUGUAGCGGUGGAAUGCGCAGAUAUCAGGAGGAACACCAAUAGCGAAGGCAGCUCGCUGGGACGGUACUGACGCUAAGGCGCGAAAGCGUGGGGAGCAAACAGG